UGCUUAUCAAGCAAGGCGUGAAACUGUAGUGGAAGCGGGAAACCCACGAGUGGUGAGACACGGGCCUGUCUGAACGCUGCACUUUUCAGACUGAGGGGUUGGUGUAAGGUGUCCGACGUCAAGAACUGAAUUGCCAUAGAAUCCUACUGUGGCAGAAAUAUUCAGUAACCCAAGGGCAUAUGGACACAGAGCUUUCCGUGGUCAAGCCUCUGAUGAGAACCCAGCCUUGACCAACACCUUGACUGCAACCUUGUGAGACCCUAAAGAGAGGACCUUGCUGAACUGUGUGCAGACUCUUGUCCUAAAGAAUAUAUGAUAUAAUGAAUGUGUGUUGUUUUAAGCU
Microcebus murinus (gray mouse lemur) is the source of this 343-nucleotide long non-coding RNA. RefSeq lists it as uncharacterized. NCBI's taxonomy places the organism in Eukaryota, Metazoa, Chordata, Mammalia, Primates, Cheirogaleidae. The record is from RefSeq and is a predicted model, not a curated record.